AGUCUCCCUGGGAAACCGACGAGCGCACCUGAGCUGGGUUCUGAGCUCCAGCGUUUUGGGGCUAGAAGUUGCGGACUAGUAGCUGAGGCGGCACGGGAGUGUAGGCGCGCGGGGUCGUUGCCGGGGGCACAGAGUGAGAACAAGCAAGGGAGCCCUGCUGAAUUGCAGCUUAGGAAGCCCUGAAUCCUGGAGACGGAGUUUUGCUCUUGUUGCCCAGGCUGGAGUCCAAUGAUGCGAUCUCGGCUCACCGCAACCUCCGCCUUCAGGGUUCAAGCAAUUCUCCUGCCUCAGCCUCCCGAGUAGCUGGGAUUACAG
RNAcentral lists this unclassified non-coding RNA (315 nucleotides) under Homo sapiens (human). RNAcentral's name for it is "ARHGEF26 antisense RNA 1 (ENSG00000281157.2)". Lineage: Eukaryota; Metazoa; Chordata; Mammalia; Primates; Hominidae. The record is from RNAcentral.